RNAcentral lists this ribosomal RNA (468 nucleotides) under uncultured bacterium. RNAcentral describes it as "partial 16S ribosomal RNA". It matches the Rfam family "Bacterial small subunit ribosomal RNA", at positions 28 to 507 of the family's 1533-position model. The record is from RNAcentral.
GACGAACGCUGGCGGCGUGCUUAACACAUGCAAGUCGAACGGAAAGGCCCUGCUUUUGUGGUAUGCUAGAGUGGCGAACGGGUGAGAAACACGUGUGUUACCUGCCCUUCAUUUUGGUAUAACUUCAGGAAACGGGGUCUAAUACCGGAUAGGAGCUUCUGCGGCAUGGUGGUGGUUGGAAUUUUCCGGCGGGUGUGGAUUGACUUCCUGUUUAUCAGCUUGUUGGUGGGGUAGUGGCUUACCAAGGCAGUGAUGGGUAGCCGGCCUGUGCAGGUCACCGGGCACCUUGGGACUGAGGUUAGGCCCCGACUUCUGAGGGGGGCAGCAGGUGGGAAUAAUGCACGAAGGGGGGAAGGCUGAAGCAGCAAGCCCGCGUGCGGGAAGACGGGCUUCUGGUUGUAAAACGCCUUCCCCUGUGACGGAGCCUGUGUGAGGGUAAUGGGUGAAAAAAAGCCGGCUCAAAACACG